Molecule: long non-coding RNA, 3321 nt
Organism: Felis catus (domestic cat)
Lineage: Eukaryota; Metazoa; Chordata; Mammalia; Carnivora; Felidae
Exons: 3
Source: RefSeq, a predicted model, not a curated record
GCCAUCAGGUGGAUAAAUUGAAGUUACCCAAUAUGUAUUGAUGAUGGGGGCUAUGCUCAGAAACCAAAAACUUUUUAUUUUAUUUUAUUUUAUUUAUUUUUAUUAUUAUUUUUUUUAGUUACAAACAGACAAUCCCAUCUCAUCCGUUAUUAGUCCAUUAUCACAAGUGAGAUGCUAGACCAAGAUAGCACAAUUAACAAUAUGGAAACUUAUCAGAUUUAAUGACGGUGUAUUUUGAAACAGAGGUCCAGAGGUCACCCACGGUAGGAAAAAAAAAGUCAAAUUCACCCUCAAGAUAUGAUGUUAUUAGGUAGAAAUAUAUUAGAUUGUUUUCACCAACUAGGAAAGGAGAAAAAAUACAUCUGCAGUGCUAGCAUUUAUAUAUACUUGCAUGCUUGUGUCUUUCAGUUCCUUGUCAGUGAUGCUGGAGGAGUCGAACUCCAGUUGCUACUCAGGUGGUCCAUUUGAAUGUGGUUCUUGCUACUAGAAAACUUUGUGUGACAUAUUUUAUUUUGAACUUCAACAUUCAAAAAAUGUAACAGCUUCAAGUCUUCUGUUGGCUGGAAACAUCUUUGUGUUGCACGAUUAUUAUUUCUUUUUAGGUUUUCAGUUCACAUCAUCUGAACAAAACUCACACUGCUUAGCCCUAAGACAGGGUGGGUCUGUUUAAGAAUAAAGGUGGAUACUAAAUAGUUGAGGUGUGGGGAAGAGGAGUCAUGAUCAAAUCAGAGGAACUGAGAUGUGAAAGUGAAAUUAGAGAUGAAAUUCUUUGAGGCUUUUUUUCAUGAACUUCAUACAUGGUAGUAAAUUUCUUUUAGAAGCUGUAUUAAUAUGUCUGGCCAAGGAAGUAAAGGCAUGCCAAUUUACUAUAUUAUUAGCUGAUGCAGCAUAUUCCAAAGUUGUUCUGCUAAGCACCAGUUCUCUCCCAGAUGUUAAAGGACAAGUCAUAGUGAAAUUCUUAUUUACAGGCGACAGAGGCUGACCCUGGAUGACUUAAAUAGGAAGAGAAGAGUACUCGAAUUCAGAGCCCUGAUGGAAGACUGGAGAACAGGUUGAGACAAGUUCAGGAGCCAAGGGAGAGGGCUUUUCGUGUGACUGCAUGCAUGGUGAAUCUCCAGGAGGGAUUAUAGGACCACCCCCCCCCCCUUCAUCAUCCGAUUGCGACAAGGUAAAAAGCACGGAAUCCAACAACCAAACAGCCAGUGACCUUGAAGCCAUAGGCAGCAUAGGAAACUGCUCCUAUCUGUAUUCAUCGAUGACGCCUAAACUUUAGGUCGGAGUCAUAUUUAAUUUGAAAAGAUUGGGAAGCUGAAGACCAUAUCUUCACGUGCAAAUCCCAGCCUUAGCUCUCUGGCCAAUAGAGGUAAAUACAAGUCACAUGCUUGACUGAAAUCAGCACUGAAGUUGAGCUUUCUAAAAAGUUUCAUUAUUUAAUGUUUCUUUUUUCAAGCUUCCGUACUUAUGACUUUCUUGUUAUCCUUCAACAUUUGUAAAAUACAAAGCUAACACCAUGAGAUAGAGACAUUCAUUGAAACAAAAAUCUUUUUGGGGUCUACCGUGUGAAAGGCCUGUGCUAGAUAUAAGGGGUAAACUCAUGAGUUAGACGUAUUUCCUGCCUUUAAGAGCUUUUACCUAGACUGUGAAUUGGUGUAUUUAUUUAAAAGACUUUUUUUCAGGCCGACUAUGAUCUAGGCACUGUGCUAGGAGCUCAGAUAAAGCUGUGAACAAGAAAAUAAAAGUUUCUAUUCUAUGGCACAUAGAUGCAGUGGGGGAGCCCGAUAUUAAAUCACACAGCACAUAUUUAUUCAUCGAAUCAUUCUUGCGAUCAGAGCCACAAAGUCUUAGACCAGAAUAAGCCUGUGAGGAUAUGAUGGAACGCGUUCUCUCGGGAAGUGGCCUGUGAGCUGUGCUCUGAAGGAUGAACAGGAAUAAAUGUUAUGGAGAUAUGGUUGGAGGGAGCGAGAAGAGAAAUAAGAGUUUUAGAACAGGAUAGAGUUUUGCUGGUACCAGAGGCAGGGUGGCCUGACCAAGCAGGGCCUUGGAGAGCGUGGGAAAGUUUCAGUCUUCAUGCUAAAUGCAAUGGGAAGACAUGGGGCAGAUUUCCUCAGGGAAGGAAUGUAAUCAGACAUGCACUUUAGAAAGUUUACUCUGGCCAUGCAUAUUGAAUGGCUUGCAAGGGCAGUAAUGGAGGCAGAAAUACCAGCUAGAAGGUUGGUCUAGUAAUUCAAGGGGAAAAUGCUGGUAGGUUCAACUAGGGUAGGUGUGGGAGAAUGAUGCUGAGAGGUGUAUAGAUACAAGAGAUAUAAAUGAGUCCCAAACAACAGAACUUGAUGCUUAAUUGGAUGUGGGAGUUAUUUAGGAGAAAGUCAGGUAAAUUGCCAAAUGCAAUACGGUAUGCUAAAUGCUCUAAGAGACUAUAGAGGCAUCUGGCCUGUUGCUGGGUCUAAGCAAAUGUAUAUGCAGAAAACCCCACAAAGGACCUCAAGUCAUAUAUAAUGUAUUUGAAGAGGCUAGAUGUAAAUGCUGAAAAGUUAGCUCAUAAUCAAGGCACUAAAUGCCAGUCAUCACAGGUGUGAUACAGGCACUACGGUUUGUUGGUGUUCCCAGGUCAGUUGUGGAUAGAGGUAGCCAGGGAAGGCUUCAUGCAAUAGACGGAAUGAGCUGGGCUUGGGCAAAGAAAGAAAGAACAAUCCUGGUGGAGAGAACACACAGAAGAGGGGGAGGAGGAAGUAAGGAUAGACAUAACAUAUUUAGAGAGUACCAAAUAGACCAGUUGUAUCAAAAUGGGAGAUUUGGGGGGAAAGAAAAAUUUGGAAAAGAUAAAAUUGGAAGUAUAGGUUAGGGGAAGCAAGGGGUUGCAGAAUUAUAUGCAAAAUUCAUAAAUACUGAUUCACACCUGGAUUGUCAUGAGUAAGCUGUAAAUCUCUGGCACUAGGAAGAGCUCAAGUUCUCGGUCUCCUUGUACCUUUUCUACAAUGAAAUCUCCGUCCCCCUGCCCCGCCCCAGCUUUAUUGAGAUGUGAUUGACAUACAGCAUCGUGCCACUUGAAUGGGCAAAACGUGUUGAUCUGAUGCUGGAUCAACUGGAACUGGCUAGCCAACACCCUCAUCAGGUCACGUAACUAAUGUUUCUUUUUUGUGGUGAGAACAUUUAAAAUUCACUCUCUUAGCAACUUUCAAAUGUAUACUACCCAUUGAGUAUUCUUGGCUCCCCUGUCAAAUAUUACUUGACUAUACAUGCAAGGAUUUAUUUCUGGGCUCUUGAUUUUGUUCGAUCCAUCUAUGUGUUUAUUUUUAUGCCACUAUUAUACUGUUUUGAUUA